RNAcentral lists this long non-coding RNA (1766 nucleotides) under Malus domestica (apple). Its description in RNAcentral is "long non-coding RNA (MDOM_LNC006413)". Lineage: Eukaryota; Viridiplantae; Streptophyta; Magnoliopsida; Rosales; Rosaceae. The record is from RNAcentral.
UUCUGGUUUUGGGGGUUGCGGGUAAAGCUUUCAGGUUUUUUUUUUUUUUUUUUUUUUUUUUUAGAAGAUUAGAUUAAAAAUAAAUAAAAAAUUAAUUUUUUUUGCCACGUGGCAGCCUCAUCAGCACAAAUGUGGUAGUCACGUCAGCAUUUAACAGACUAAUGGAUGAAAAAUCUAACGGAGGUGUUAUUUUGAAAUAAAAUGGUACUGGAUGUAUGAAAGUGAAAUGUUUUAAAGUUGUUGUAUGGAGUUGUAAUUGACCUCAAAUCUGAGGGGCUAGUAUGUAAUUUACUCCAAAAAGUAUUACUAUAAUUUUUAAACUUCAAGAUGAGGCGAAGGUGAAAAUAAAUAGUUUGAACAACUAUUUAUGUACAAAUUUAUGCACUUGAUAAUCACAAAUGAGAUCAUAACAUCCAAAAAAUUAACGACUCAACCCAAAACUAUGAAAUACCAAAUUAAAUACAAAAACAUCACAACCCCAAACCCAAACAAAACCUCAAAUCAAUUAAAAAAAAUGGCCCAACCCGUGUCUCUCUCAUUUUCCCCUUCCCUUGCUCUGUCUUCCCACCUAUCUGUCUCAGUGUAUAUUCUCUAUGCCUCUCACGAAAUCAAAACUGCCAAAACCAUGAACCAACAGAAAACCUGCAAAAUACCAUAAACCUCCAGCUAUUUAUACCUUGGCAUAUUCAUUUUUUUACAACUAUCACUUCAACGAACAAAUGGAUUCAUCCACUAACAGCAUAAAAAAAUUUAUAUCACAAUUGAACUUAACACUUUAUGUCAUCAUCUCCCUCUCAAUGUUCCAUGUUUUCCAUACAAACCAAAACCAGAAAAUUUUCAAAAAUUGGAGUCGCUUGACUCAUCUUUUUUCACAAAUCACAAACCCCUUUUAAUCCAACAAUUGCAAAUACAUAUUAAAAUUGGGAUAAACAGAAGCAGAGAUAACACACCCAAAAAAUAACAGUGUCGUUCCAAUUCCUGCCAAAUCCGAGAUUUAUGAACUGAGAUAACAAAAACUGCAACUGAUCACAAAGCCAAACGGUUAGGGUUUGGUCCAAACUGACAAAAAUCGAAGGGGCAAUAAUCUGAAAUUACAGUUCUAAAAAUCAAAAUACAUUACGAAAAAUAACAAAUAAUUUGUGAAGCAGAGCAGAAGCGCGAUUUACCUCGACGCUUAUGUAGAGGGUUUGGAGGAUGGCUUCCUCGUAGUGGUCCAUGCGACCAAUUUGAUAAUAAGUACUCUGAAUCUCGUCAAUCCCAGACGGAUUCGAACGCAAAAAAGGCCAAAUCUUCGCCCCUCCCGAUGACAACUCUAGAAACAGUGACCAAUUUUAUGAAGCUGGACAAAACACCCACAACCCCACGUUUAAAAGGAUCCAAAACCCUCCACAAAUCAGUUACCAGAAAUAAGAUCUCUUAAAAUACGAAAAAUUUUGGGACAGAGAAGGAGCAGAAGAAAAACAGUGAGAAUAAGGCACGGAUCAGAGAAGGAGCAGAAGAAAGAAAGGUUUAAACGAAAUAGAAAACUCUCGAACUCGAAGCGGACAUAUCGAACUCGAAGGAGCAGAAGGACGAUACACAAUUUAUCUCUAUAUAAAGGAGAACGCAAAUUUUAAUAAAUUUUUCAUAUUGUAAAAAUGCUUCUCACUUCUUAUAACUACAACAACAACAACAAAGCCUUUUCCCACUAAGUGGGGUCGGCUAUAUGAAUCCUAGAAUGCCAUUGCGCUCAUUUGUGUCAUGUCCUCCGUUAGAUCCAAGUACUC